UUUCCCCAGAGAGCCUCAGCCGCCAUCCUGAAGACAACACUGUGCCAGCUGUCAAAGCCGCGGUGCCAGCCCCCAGGCCCCAGGUCCCCUUCCCAUGAUGCCGGCCCCCAGGCCCCUUCCUCAUCAAGAGGUGCAGUGACCGCUUCCUGCCACUUUGCCUCGGCCGCUCUGGGACCUUGCAGGUGGAGGCCCCUCUCUCUGAAUUAUCAGGGUGGUGGCAUCUGGCCCGGCAGCUCCCCUGGCACUGGGGUGGGGCCCGGACCCCCUGCCCGGCUGGGAGGUGGGCUGUAGGAGCUGGGCGGCCUCUAGGGCUCUCCCCCGCCUGACUGAGCUGACUUCUGGGUUUUCCUUCAGCCCCGCUCACACCUUCUACCAUGCUCCCCAGAGCCGCGUCUCCAGGGCGCUGGGGAACCUCAGCCCCGCUCCACUGCAGAGUCAGGAUGCUGGCACGGAGGCCACGGGGCUUCCCCGGCAGGGCCACAGGAGCAAGGUCAGAGUGAACUCCGGCGGCCGAGCCCCAGAUGUGUCUCGGAGUUAGAGUCACGUCGGGAACUCAAACAGGAAGAAACCGCAGCCCCUGGGGCUGGCACUGUGGUGUGGCGGGAAAAGCCAUGACACUGGCGUCCCACAUGGGCACCGGUUCGAGUCCUGGCUGCUCCACUUCUGAUUCAGCUCUCUGCUAUCGCUUGGGAAGGCACUGGAAGAUGGCACAAGUGCUUGGGCCCCUGCACCCGUGUGGGAGACCCCGAGGAAGCUCCUGGCUUCACAUCAGCGCAGCUCUGGAUGUUGUGGCCAACUGGGGAGUGAACCAGCGACAGAAGGUCUCUGUCACUCUGUCACUCUGCCUUUCAAAUAAAUAAUAAAUCUUAAAACUAAUGCACAGCCCCGAGGACAGCUCUGGCUGGACCCAAGAGUGCCUGCGUGCAGUCACUGGCCUGGGCUGGUCCUGGGAGCCUGACCCACCCCGCAGUGCUGAGCAAGGCUGCCUGGAGGAAUUCCGGGCCUGCUACGAGGCCCGUGAUCAGGGAAUAGCAGCGAAGGAAGAGCGCGCCCAGGUGCAGACGCACAGCGGCUGGCUCUGAGCUUUGGCUAACAGGGCUGCGUAGCGGAAUCCGCGUGCAAGGGGAGGGAACCUGAACACACCUCCAUAUCCGCCGAAAGCGACUGCAGAGGGCCAGGGGCCCAGAUUAAAGUGCAAAACCGCGACGGUCCUGGAGGAGGCCCGGCGGACCUGGGCUCCUGUGUGGCCUGGUUCGACGCCGAGGCUUUCGAGAUGUGGACAACGUCACCAUGAAGAAGGACUUUAUUCCGCACUUCUGGGCUGCGAACGAGAUGGCACGGGACUGGGAGAACGGCCCCAGACACCCAUCCAGGCAGGGGCUCGCGCGGCCCGGGAAUCAGAAAGCAGCUGGCUCACGCUCCGCCCCAUCUCCUGUUACGGGGCCUCCCGUGGGUGGGGCUGGGGCUGCGCCAGGCAUACAGAAAACAGCUGAUUUGGCUCAUAGCUUUGGGGGUUCAGGAGCACGGCCCCCAUGUCUCCUAGGCCUUGGGGAGGGCCCGCUCAGCGUGUCGCAUGGCGGGAGCCGUCAUGACAGGGAGCAGUCACAGCAGUGAGGAAGGAGUCCAGGGAGCGGGAAGGGGCUGGUCUCGCUGUCCCCCCAUGAACAUCUCUCGUGGGAACUAACAGGUCCCCAGAGAACCCCCUCGCCUUGCUCUAGGCACCCCCCAGGAAGGCUCUGCCACCUCCCAACCCCGCCACCCGGA
Molecule: long non-coding RNA, 1764 nt
Filed under: Oryctolagus cuniculus (rabbit)
Lineage: Eukaryota; Metazoa; Chordata; Mammalia; Lagomorpha; Leporidae
Description: lncRNA (ENSOCUG00000035324.1)
Source: RNAcentral